Molecule: ribosomal RNA, 88 nt
Filed under: Nocardia ignorata
Lineage: Bacteria; Bacillati; Actinomycetota; Actinomycetes; Mycobacteriales; Nocardiaceae
Also listed under: 7 other names
Source: RNAcentral
CGGUCCCAUUCCGAACCCGGAAGCUAAGGCCACCUGCGCCGAUGGUACUGCACUCGACAGGGUGUGGGAGAGUAGGACACCGCCGGAC